This 663-nucleotide long non-coding RNA is filed under the name Salmo trutta (river trout). Its description in RNAcentral is "lncRNA (ENSSTUG00000007890.1)". The record is from RNAcentral. Lineage: Eukaryota; Metazoa; Chordata; Actinopteri; Salmoniformes; Salmonidae.
GUGAUGUUCUGAACUGUCACUCCUCUCUCUUUCCAACCCUCAUCCCUCUCUCCUCUCCUCCACAGAGAAGCCGAUGGCCAGGGGUCCUCCUGGAGGAAUAUUGGGGGUGUUGGGAGGGGUCGUAGCCGCUGGUCUCCUCAUCGCCGUGGCUGUCACAGUCUUCAUGGUUUACCGGCGGCAGCAGAAGACACGCACCGAGACUGACAAUGACCUGACCGACCUCCCGCCCGCCCACAAGCCGGCCCCUCCCCCGCCCAAAAAGAAGAGCAGCGAUUUGAAGGGCCACUUGACAUCCGAUGAUAUCCAGGUGGUUCAUCUGGAUAAGGGUGAGGACAUGCAGAAGCUUCCUCUCCAGCCUCCCUACUACGAUAUGGCUCCCUCCGAGUCAACCCCUUUCACUGACAAGCCGAACUCUGACCACAAGGACUGUGAUGUCCAGUAUGCGGAGCUGGAUACUGCGGCUCUGGCCUCCUCUCCCAGCCCACGAAGCUCAGUUCAAACUGCCGGGGACCUUGUCGAGUAUGCAACCAUCCAGUCUAGCUCCCACUAGCGCAUGCCAUUAUAGGCCUUUUCCCUCCGAUUCUGGCCUCAAGGUACACAGACUGGUGCACUCUCCUCUCCCAUCCUUCCAUCUCCCACUGCCUCCCUCACUCUGACACAAAG